This 334-nucleotide ribosomal RNA is filed under the name uncultured eukaryote. RNAcentral's name for it is "partial 18S ribosomal RNA". It matches the Rfam family "Eukaryotic small subunit ribosomal RNA", at positions 1470 to 1796 of the family's 1831-position model. The record is from RNAcentral.
CCCUUAGAUGUCCGGGGCCGCACGCGCGCUACACUGAAGGAAUCAGCGUGGCUUUCUCCCUGACCCGAAAGGGUUGGGAAACCCGUUGAAUCUCCUUCGUGAUAGGGAUUGGGGCUUGAAAUUGUUCCCCAUGAACGAGGAAUUCCCAGUAAGCGCGAGUCAUAAGCUCGCGUUGAUUACGUCCCUGCCCUUUGUACACACCGCCCGUCGCUACUACCGAUUGAACGGUUUAGUGAGGGCCUCGGAUUGGUCUCGGCCCGCUCUUUACCGGGCGGCGCCGUUGGUCGAGAAGACGCUCGAACGUGAUCGUUUAGAGGAAGUAAAAGUCGUAACA